This is a transfer RNA of Acidithiobacillus ferrooxidans ATCC 23270, 71 nucleotides long. It matches the Rfam family "tRNA". From Rfam's summary of the family: Transfer RNA (tRNA) molecules are approximately 80 nucleotides in length. Their secondary structure includes four short double-helical elements and three loops (D, anti-codon, and T loops). NCBI's taxonomy places the organism in Bacteria, Pseudomonadati, Pseudomonadota, Acidithiobacillia, Acidithiobacillales, Acidithiobacillaceae. The record is from Rfam.
UGGGGGAUCGUCUAGCGGUAGGACCGCGGACUCUGACUCCGCUAACCGUGGUUCGAAUCCACGUCCCCCAG